This 495-nucleotide ribosomal RNA is filed under the name uncultured bacterium. RNAcentral's name for it is "partial 16S ribosomal RNA". It matches the Rfam family "Bacterial small subunit ribosomal RNA", at positions 28 to 507 of the family's 1533-position model. The record is from RNAcentral.
GACGAACGCUGGCGGCGUGCCUAAUACAUGCAAGUAGAACGCUGAAGGAGGAGCUUGCCCUUCUGGAUGAGUUGCGAACGGGUGAGUAACGCGUAGGUAACCUGCCUGGUAGCGGGGGAUAACUAUUGGAAACGAUAGCUAAUACCGCAUAAGAGUAGAUGUUGCAUGACAUUUACUUAAAAGGUGCAAUUGCAUCACUACCAGAUGGACCUGCGUCGGAUUAGCAAGUUGGUGGGGUAACGGCUUACCAAGGCGACGAUUCAUAGCCGACCUGAUGGGGUGGUCGGCCACACUGGGACUGAGACACGGCCCAGACUCCUACGGGAGGCAGCAGUAGGGAAUCUUCGGCAAUGGACGGAAGGCUGACCGAGCAACGCCGCGUGAGUGAAGGAGGGUUUCGGAUCGGAAAGCUCUGUUGUAAGAGAAGAACGAGUGUGAGAGUGGAAAGUGCACGCUGUGACGGUAUCUAACCAGAAAGCGACGGCUAACUACGUG